UAAUCCAAGUGGAAAGGGGAUCUCCUGAUCAUCUUUUCAUGGCGUGCCGCACGUUGUUGCAGCCUCUGCUCCGUUCAUCUAAUUAACCAUGAAGGAGAACGGUAGAGUCAGCCAGGGUUUGCGUCCAGUUUCUAGACAAGUCGUGGUUGAGCUAUUAAGAGUUUUAAUUUCACAAACAUGAUCUCUGUACAGAUAUUACCUCUAUUGUUCCCAAGAAUGUGAGAAUAUCCAAACCCAAAUUCAUAUUUGAUACCAAAUGAUUUCCAAAAGGAAUUUUGAAAAGAUUUCUCCAAACAGUUUUAGUGUUUUUAGUUCUUAAUCACUCUACCACUUAAAUCCUACGAGUGUUGUUUUUCUCACGAUCAGUUCCCCGUUUUUACCCAGAAAGACAGAAAGAAAGAAAGAAAUGGCUGUAACUGGAUAUUUUGUGUUUUUCGCAGCUGUGUAUCUCGUUUCAGGCCAUUACCAAUGGCUCUGCUGAAAGGUGAAAGGCCCACUGUCACCAUAACUCCAUCCAGCAUCAAAGAUGAUUCUCUCUAUGCAAUUUCGUUCUUUCUGUUUGCAUUUUUGCAGGAGACAUGAACAUUAGUUAACUCUCUCUCUCUGUUUUUUUUCUUUCUAUUUCAGAAAAUUAUAAAUGCAUGCACCCAGAUCUUUUGUUUUUUUUUUUUUUUAAUUUGCAGCAACUUGAAUACUUAUAUGAUUGCCAAUUGUCAUUUACUUGUCUGUCUAUGGUUAUCAAAUGCCAGUCACUCCUUGAAC
This 762-nucleotide long non-coding RNA is filed under the name Populus trichocarpa (black cottonwood). RNAcentral's name for it is "long non-coding RNA (PTRI_LNC003296)". Lineage: Eukaryota; Viridiplantae; Streptophyta; Magnoliopsida; Malpighiales; Salicaceae. The record is from RNAcentral.